UUGUUGGUAAGGUAAAGGCUUACCAAGGCUUCGAUCAGUAGCUGGUCUGAGAGGACGGCCAGCCACACUGGGACUGAGACACGGCCCAGACUCCUACGGGAGGCAGCAGUGGGGAAUUUUGGACAAUGGGGGAAACCCUGAUCCAGCCAUGCCGCGUGAGUGAAGAAGGCCUUCGGGUUGUAAAGCUCUUUCAGCCGGAACGAAACGGUUACGGAUAAUACCCGUGACUACUGACGGUACCGGAAGAAGAAGCACCGGCUAACUACGUGCCAGCAGCCGCGGUAAUACGUAGGGUGCGAGCGUUAAUCGGAAUUACUGGGCGUAAAGCGUGCGCAGGUGGUUUUGUAAGUCAGAUGUGAAAGCCCCGGGCUCAACCUGGGAACUGCGUUUGAAACUACAAGACUAGAGUGUGGCAGAGGGGGGUGGAAUUCCGCAUGUAGCAGUGAAAUGCGUAGAGAUGUGGAGGAACACCGAUGGCGAAGGCAGCCCCCUGGGUUAACACUGACACUCAGGCACGAAAGCAUGGGGAGCAAACAGGAUUAGAUACCCUGGUAGUCCAUGCCCUAAACGAUGUCAACUAGUUGUCGGGCCUUUACGGGCUUGGUAACGUAGCUAACGCGUGAAGUUGACCGCCUGGGGAGUACGAUCGCAAGAUUAAAACUCAAAUGAAUUGACGGGGACCCGCACAAGCGGUGGAUUAUGUGGAUUAAUUCGAUGCAACGCGAAAAACCUUACCUACCCUUGACAUGUAUCGAAGCCCGCAGAAAAGCGGGGGUGCCCGAAAGGGAACGAUAACACAGGUGCUGCAUGGCUGUCGUCAGCUCGUGUCGUGAGAUGUUGGGUUAAGUCCCGCAACGAGCGCAACCCUUGUCAUUAAUUGCCAUCAUUUAGUUGGGCACUUUAAUGAGACUGCCGG
Molecule: ribosomal RNA, 916 nt
Filed under: uncultured bacterium
Lineage: Bacteria
Description: bacterial SSU rRNA
Rfam family: Bacterial small subunit ribosomal RNA
Source: RNAcentral